AUGGCCGCUAUCGACGAGGCCUCUGGCCGCCGGGCGGCCAGCUGCUUCUUCGAGGUCGGCCAGCGCGAGAUCGGCUCAUCCAGCUCCCGCCGAAUCAGCGGCUCCGAGGGCCUAAUUUUGCGGAUGAACCAAUAUGGAAAGUUGCGAGGUCAUAGUGGCUGUGUUAAUACUAUAAGCUUCAAUCCUGCUGGUGACCUCCUUGUGUCUGGUUCAGACGACACAGACAUCAUACUAUGGGACUGGCUUGCUAAAACUGAAAAACUAACUUACCCUUCUGGACAUCAACAAAAUGUCUUUCAUGCUCGUGUGAUGCCAUUUACAGAUGACAGCACCAUUGUGACCGUUGGUGCUGAUGGCCAGGUUAGGGUGGGACAACUGAAGCAGGGUGGUGGAUUCACAACCAAACAAAUUGGGGAACAUCAUGAUCGUGCGCAUAAGAUGGCUCUCGAACCAGGAAGUCCUCACAUACUUUACAGCUGUGGAGAGGAUGGCUUGGUACAACACUUUGACCUGCGCAGUGAUUCACCAACAAAGCUUCUCACCUGCUAUUCAUUCUCAAAUAGAAGGCGCCGUGUAAGACUGAAUACCAUUGCUAUUGACCCACAGAACCCUAAUUAUUUUUCGAUCGGUGGCUCCGAUGAGUAUGUACGGCUGUAUGAUUUUAGGAAAAUAAACUUGGACUCUUCAAGCAAUAUGAACCUACCAGUUGAUACCUUCUGCCCUGAGCACCUUCUUAUGGGCGGGAAGGUCCACAUCACUGGUAUUGCAUACUCUUAUUCAAGCGAGUUACUUGUCUCAUACAAUGACGAGCUUAUCUACCUGUUCGAAAACUAUAUGGGUCUUGGUCCGAAUCCUGAAUCAACACAGCCAGAGCAUUUGGACAAGCUCGAGCAGCUACAAUCAUACUCUGGUCACAGAAAUUUCAGAACUGUUAAAGGAGUCAGUUUCUUUGGACCCAAUAAUGAAUAUGUUUUGAGUGGGUCAGACUGCGGGCAUUUGUUCAUUUGGAGGAAAAAUGGAGGUGAAUUGAUGAGGAUCAUGCGCGGCGAUAAACAUAUCGUUAAUUGCAUCGAACCCUAUCCGCAUUUUCCCUUCCUAGCUACUAGUGGGAUAGACAGCACCAUUAAGAUUUGGACACCUUCGUCAAGCAAAGUGAUGCAAUUGCCUCAAUAUGCAAAUAAAGUAAUAGCUUCAAACGCGCGGGAGAGGCAAUUUUAUGCCUCCCGAGGAGAAAUGACACUUUCAGCUGACGUCAUGAUGCGUAUCUUAAGAUUGCAAAAUACACAAUCUGAACUGUACGCAAAUCAUGAACCAUCUGCUGCCGAUUUCGCAACUGGUGGUGAUGAGACUUUCUUCAUUGGGCUUGGUGAUGGUGAUGGGAACCAAAGAUCGAACUCUGAUCCCAGGGAACGCAUUGUGACAUGA
This 1425-nucleotide ribosomal RNA is filed under the name Triticum aestivum (bread wheat). RNAcentral's name for it is "partial small subunit ribosomal RNA". The record is from RNAcentral. Lineage: Eukaryota; Viridiplantae; Streptophyta; Magnoliopsida; Poales; Poaceae.